This 1372-nucleotide ribosomal RNA is filed under the name uncultured bacterium. RNAcentral's name for it is "bacterial SSU rRNA". It matches the Rfam family "Bacterial small subunit ribosomal RNA", at positions 28 to 1381 of the family's 1533-position model. The record is from RNAcentral.
GAUGAACGCUGGCGGCGUGCCUAAUACAUGCGAGUCGAGCGAACGGACGAGAAGCUUGCUUCUCUGAUGUUAGCGGCGGACGGGUGAGUAACACGUGGAUAACCUACCUAUAAGACUGGGAUAACUUCGGGAAACCGGAGCUAAUACCGGAUAAUAUUUUGAACCGCAUGGUUCAAAAGUGAAAGACGGUCUUGCUGUCACUUAUAGAUGGAUCCGCGCUGCAUUAGCUAGUUGGUAAGGUAACGGCUUACCAAGGCAACGAUGCAUAGCCGACCUGAGAGGGUGAUCGGCCACACUGGAACUGAGACACGGUCCAGACUCCUACGGGAGGCAGCAGUAGGGAAUCUUCCGCAAUGGGCGAAAGCCUGACGGAGCAACGCCGCGUGAGUGAUGAAGGUCUUCGGAUCGUAAAACUCUGUUAUUAGGGAAGAACGUAUGUGUAAGUAACUGUGCACAUCUUGACGGUACCUAAUCAGAAAGCCACGGCUAACUACGUGCCAGCAGCCGCGGUAAUACGUAGGUGGCAAGCGUUAUCCGGAAUUAUUGGGCGUAAAGCGCGCGUAGGCGGUUUUUUAAGUCUGAUGUGAAAGCCCACGGCUCAACCGUGGAGGGUCAUUGGAAACUGGAAAACUUGAGUGCAGAAGAGGAAAGUGGAAUUCCAUGUGUAGCGGUGAAAUGCGCAGAGGUAUGGAGGAACACCAGUGGCGAAGGCGACUUUCUGGUCUGUAACUGACGCUGAUGUGCGAAAGCGUGGGGAUCAAACAGGAUUAGAUACCCUGGUAGUCCACGCCGUAAACGAUGAGUGCUAAGUGUUAGGGGGUUUCCGCCCCUUAGUGCUGCAGCUAACGCAUUAAGCACUCCGCCUGGGGAGUACGACCGCAAGGUUGAAACUCAAAGGAAUUGACGGGGACCCGCACAAGCGGUGGAGCAUGUGGUUUAAUUCGAAGCAACGCGAAGAACCUUACCAAAUCUUGACAUCCUUUGACAACUCUAGAGAUAGAGCCUUCCCCUUCGGGGGACAAAGUGACAGGUGGUGCAUGGUUGUCGUCAGCUCGUGUCGUGAGAUGUUGGGUUAAGUCCCGCAACGAGCGCAACCCUUAAGCUUAGUUGCCAUCAUUAAGUUGGGCACUCUAAGUUGACUGCCGGUGACAAACCGGAGGAAGGUGGGGAUGACGUCAAAUCAUCAUGCCCCUUAUGAUUUGGGCUACACACGUGCUACAAUGGACAAUACAAAGGGCAGCGAAACCGCGAGGUCAAGCAAAUCCCAUAAAGUUGUUCUCAGUUCGGAUUGUAGUCUGCAACUCGACUACAUGAAGCUGGAAUCGCUAGUAAUCGUAGAUCAGCAUGCUACGGUGAAUACGUUCCCGGGUCU